AGACGCUGGCGGCGUGCUUAACACAUGCAAGUCGAACGGUGACGAGGAGCUUGCUCCUCUGAUCAGUGGCGAACGGGUGAGUAACACGUGGGCAACCUGCCCCUGACUUCGGGAUAACGCUUCGAAAGAGGUGCUAAUACCGGAUAUGAGUCCCUCCGGCAUCUGAGGGACUGGAAAGUUUUCGGUCAGGGAUGGGCCCGCGGCCUAUCAGCUUGUUGGUGAGGUAACGGCUCACCAAGGCGACGACGGGUAGCCGGCCUGAGAGGGCGACCGGCCACACUGGGACUGAGACACGGCCCAGACUCCUACGGGAGGCAGCAGUGGGGAAUAUUGCGCAAUGGGCGAAAGCCUGACGCAGCAACGCCGCGUGAGGGAUGAAGGCCCUAUGGGUUGUAAACUGCUUUUAGCCGGGAAUAAACACCCGUUUUAUAACGGGCCCGAAGGUACCGGCUGAAUAAGCAUCGGCUAACUCCGUG
Molecule: ribosomal RNA, 476 nt
Filed under: uncultured bacterium
Lineage: Bacteria
Description: bacterial SSU rRNA
Rfam family: Bacterial small subunit ribosomal RNA
Source: RNAcentral